UACAGAGGGUGCAAGCGUUAAUCGGAGUUACUGGGCGUAAAGGGCGCGUAGGUGGUUGUAUAAGUGAGAUGUGAAAUCCCUGGGCUUAACCUAGGAACUGCAUCUUAUACUGUAUAGCUUGAGUACUGUAGAGGGUAGUGGAAUUUCCGGUGUAGCGGUGAAAUGCGUAGAGAUCGGAAGGAACACCAGUGGCGAAGGCGGCUACCUGGACAGAUACUGACACUGAGGCGCGAAAGCGUGGGGAGCAAACAGGAUUAGAAACCCGUGUAGU
RNAcentral lists this ribosomal RNA (271 nucleotides) under uncultured bacterium. RNAcentral describes it as "partial 16S ribosomal RNA". It matches the Rfam family "Bacterial small subunit ribosomal RNA", at positions 524 to 794 of the family's 1533-position model. The record is from RNAcentral.